GACGAACGCUGGCGGCGUGCCUAACACAUGCAAGUCGAACGGAACUGUUUUGAAAGAUUUCUUCGGAAUGAAUUUGAUUUAGUUUAGUGGCGGACGGGUGAGUAACGCGUGAGUAACCUGCCUUCAAGAGGGGAAUAACAUUCUGAAAAGAAUGCUAAUACCGCAUGACAUAUCGGAACCACAUGGUUUUGAUAUCAAAGAUUUUAUCGCUUGAAGAUGGACUCGCGUCCGAUUAGUUAGUUGGUGAGGUAACGGCUCACCAAGACCGCGAUCGGUAGCCGGACUGAGAAGUUGAACGGCCACAUUGGGACUGAGACACGGCCCAGACUCCUACGGGAGGCAGCAGUGGGGGAUAUUGCGCAAUGGGGGCAACCCUGACGCAGCAACGCCGCGUGAAGGAUGAAGGUUUUCGGAUUGUAAACUUCUUUUAUUAAGGACGAAAAAUGACGGUACUUAAUGAAUAAGCUCCGGCUAACUACGUG
RNAcentral lists this ribosomal RNA (482 nucleotides) under uncultured bacterium. RNAcentral's name for it is "partial 16S ribosomal RNA". It matches the Rfam family "Bacterial small subunit ribosomal RNA", at positions 28 to 507 of the family's 1533-position model. The record is from RNAcentral.